CUCUCAUCGCGUCGUCUCCUCACCUGAAGUCUCGUCUGGAAGCGGCUGUGAAGGGAAACCAGGAGAGUCUGAACGCUAAAGCUAGCAGCGCUAACCCCGCCGCCAAGUCCUCCCCCAGCAUCACGCUCAAAACCAACUUCCUGUGAGACCAUUCAGCCGAAAAAACAAACAAAGAUGGAGGUUUUUGUUAACACAAAUGCACCGUGCUGCGUUCACUGUCCCCUCCGGACAAGCAGCACUCUUGUUGCCUGAGAAUCUGAAGGCUAAGAAGAUCUGGUUUUAAGGAAUGAGACCAUUUUAAAACUGACUGAAGGAGGAACUUGAACACGUUAUCUUCAGUGUGUGGCGUCAGGGGAACACACAGAGUGGAAACUGAAUGAAACUGAUUUAGAGCUGACGGAAAGGAUGUCAAAUAUUUGGGAAAAACGCAAAAUUCUGAGAUAAAAGUUGGAUAAUUUUAAGAAAAAACAGAUUUAUGAGUUUAAAUAAUUCAGACUUUAUGAACUUCAUAUUGACAAUAAGCUGCCUUCACGUCUGAUUUAAUCGUCCACAUGUUUCUUUGAAUGUUUUUGCAAUUUUAAGAUAUCCAAAAACCCUCUUUGGUUUUUGAGUCUAAAUAAAUAGAAACACUCUUUUGAAACUGAUUGUCCAAAAUUGGUUUUGAAAAAAACACUAAUUUCAUUAAUAGAUAGUCCUAUAAGUUACACAAUAUGAUCAUAUGUUGUUAAUAUUAAUAAUGAUAUUCUCUAUUAUGUUUUGUAAAGAACAAAAAUAAAUGUUUGGGUGUUAAAAAAAACCUAAAAUAAACAAAUAUAGUUCAGAAAAAACUGGAAAAAUCAAUGAAAUGUGAAAGUACUCACAAAAUAGACAAAGUAGUGCAACAGCAUAAUGUUUACCUAAACAGGUCUUUGUUCAAUUGUAAACAAAUUCAGUUUGCACAUCCGAUAUCUGCUUCAGUGUUGUCAUACAGAUUCAUUUUUUAUAUAUUUUAUUCAACAUGUAACAUGACUUUACAUUAUAUACCAUGGUGUCAUACAGACCACCAGAUGGCAGCAGGACAUUAUAAGAUUUCUCAAAAACAUCAAAUUCUCAGAGUUUUGACUUUUCUCAAAAACAUAAUCUACCAUAAAGGAUGCAUGUUAAGUAGAGGCAGUGAGUUGGACCAAUCACAGGAGAGCAUCUUAAAGAAACUCGAUGCCUUUGCCGAUAAAUAAAGAAGGGAAAAUGAAACUAACACUGUGCUUUUUUAUAAGGUCUGUACGUAAGAGGGAGCCUUCAUUUUGAAAUGACUGUCAUCUCUCGAAGCAAUCUGAAGUUAGCGGUAGAUAAAGCUGCUUUUCUGCAUCAACAACAAAUCGAGGUCUUCCUUUCACCCUCGCAUGAAUAAAUGAAUGUCAAUAACAGAGAAGAGCUCAAAGAUAUGAAAAGGAUUUGUAUUUGUAUUAGUCAAAUGUUAAUAUGUAAGGUUUAAUGUCGACAAAUCACAUGAAAACACAAACUGAAGAUUGUUAUGAAUCAUACGGUGGCCUGUAAGGGACUGUUUAGUCGUCAGCACUUUAGAUAAAAAGACACAAUAUCAACCGCGUCGUGUUUUAUCAGUUUGAAGAAUGUAUGUUUGUUUGGUUUUAAAAUACUUGUAUUGUCUGAAUGUCAACAUUCAUAUCAGUGAAGAGAAUAAAGACAUUUCUAACAUGAUGUCCUCCAUAAUAAAACACUAAAUCAUUACCUGCAAUAAGUAAAAUAACCAGGUGAGCUUCUGUCUUCCUCUGUGCUUCACACACAUGCUCACACCAGCAGUAUUAGUGUGUUUAAAUGUGUGUGUGCUCACCUGGCCGACUGCUCUGUGAACUGUACAGCUGUGACCUGAAUGACUGAGUUAACAUGAUGUUUUCUAACGACACAAGUGAAUAAAAACAUGUUUUUUUCUUCUA
Long non-coding RNA from Gymnodraco acuticeps, 1931 nucleotides. RefSeq lists it as uncharacterized. NCBI's taxonomy places the organism in Eukaryota, Metazoa, Chordata, Actinopteri, Perciformes, Bathydraconidae. The record is from RefSeq and is a predicted model, not a curated record. The transcript is spliced from 2 exons.